RNAcentral lists this unclassified non-coding RNA (348 nucleotides) under soil metagenome. RNAcentral describes it as "partial contains 5.8S ribosomal RNA, internal transcribed spacer 2, and large subunit ribosomal RNA". The stretch from base 1 to 120 matches the Rfam family "5.8S ribosomal RNA", at positions 35 to 154 of the family's 154-position model. The record is from RNAcentral.
GAUGAAGAACGCAGCGAAAUGCGAUAAGUAAUGUGAAUUGCAGAAUUCAGUGAAUCAUCGAAUCUUUGAACGCACAUCGCGCCCGCCAGUAUUCUGGCGGGCAUGCCUGUCUGAGCGUCAUUUCAACCCUCAUGCCCCUAGGGCGUGGUGUUGGGGAUCGGCCAAAGCCCGCGAGGGACGGCCGGCCCCUAAAUCUAGUGGCGGACCCGUCGUGGCCUCCUCUGCGAAGUAGUGAUAUUCCGCAUCGGAGAGCGACGAGCCCCUGCCGUUAAACCCCCAACUUUCCAAGGUUGACCUCAGAUCAGGUAGGAAUACCCGCUGAACUUAAGCAUAUCAAUAAGCGGAGGA